AGAGCAUUGAGGACCCAAAAUUCCAAAAAGUUGUGCCAAAUACGGCUAAGGUAAUCUACUCCUGGGGUAAGAAAAUCCUUAGUUUUUCGAAAAAUUCAAGGUUUUUUAAACAGAACAUUUAUAAAAUGACCAUAUAAUUGAUAUUCAUGUCAACACCGAAGUGCUGACUACUGGGCUGGUGAUACCCUCGGGGACGAAACG
Molecule: long non-coding RNA, 201 nt
Filed under: Mytilus galloprovincialis (Mediterranean mussel)
Lineage: Eukaryota; Metazoa; Mollusca; Bivalvia; Mytilida; Mytilidae
Source: RNAcentral